GGAGGUUGGCUUAGAAGCAGCCAUCCUUGAAAGAGUGCGUAAUAGCUCACUGGUCAAGUGGUUCCGCGCCGACAAUGUAGCGGGGCUUAAGCACACCGCCGACGCCGCGGCAGUCCAUCGUGGUCCUAGCCUGUCCGUUGGGCGGGUUCAGGGGGUGGGCUGGGUAGGGGAGCGUCCCGCGUUGGGUGAAGUCUCGGGGUGACCCGGGGUGGACGGCGUGGGAGUGAGAAUGCAGGCAUGAGUAGCGAGAGGCGGGUGAGAAACCCGUCCGCCGAUUGACUAAGGGUUCCAGGGCCAGGUUGAUCCGCCCUGGGUUAGUCGGGUCCUAAGGCGAGGCCGACGGGCGUAGUCGAUGGACAACGGGUUGAUAUUCCCGUACCGGCGCUUGACCGUUCAAUGUUCGCCGGGGUGAUGCUAACCAUCCCCGAUCCUGUGUGUCUCUUUCGGGAGGCGUGUGGGGGAGGGCGUGGGGUCCGAGCCUGGGUGGGCAAGCGUGGUAACAGGUGUGACGCAGAGUGGUAGUCCAACCGUGUCGUAUGGCUGAGCACGGCUAAGGGUGCAGCCCGUCUCCCAGGUAAAUCCGGGGGGCGUUCGGGUCAGGCCUGAUGGGGACCGUUUGACGGGAAGUGGAUGAUCCUGUGCUGCCGAGAAAAGCAUCGACGUCAGGGCAAGCGCCGCCCGUACCCGAAACCGACACAGGUGGUCAGGUAGAGUAUACCGAGGCGUGCGAGUCAAUCGUGGUUAAGGAACUCGGCAAAAUGCCCCCGUAACUUCGGGAGAAGGGGGGCCCCGGUCUUGACGUCCCCGUGCGGGGCGGAGGGGUCGGGGCCGCAGAGUCCAGGGAGAAGCGACUGUUUAUCAAAAACACAGGUCCGUGCUAAGCCGCAAGGCGAUGUAUACGGACUGACGCCUGCCCGGUGCUGGAAGGUUAAGCGGACUGGUCAGCCCUUCGGGGUGAAGCUGGGAAGUUAAGCCCCAGUAAACGGCGGUGGUAACUAUAACCAUCCUAAGGUAGCGAAAUUCCUUGUCGGGUAAGUUCCGACCUGCACGAAUGGCGUAACGACUUCUCCGCUGUCUCAACCAUGAACUCGGUGAAAUUGCAGUACGAGUAAAGAUGCUCGUUUCGCGCAGCAGGACGGAAAGACCCCGGGACCUUUACUAUAGCUUGGUAUUGGUGUUCGGUACGGCUUGUGUAGGAUAGGUGGGAGACUGUGAACCGGUCACGCUAGUGGGCGGGGAGUCGUUGGUGAAAUACCACUCUGGCCGUGCUGACCAUCUAACCUCGGUCCGUGAUCCGGGCCAGGGACAGUGCCUGGUGGGUAGUUUAACUGGGGCGGUUGCCUCCUAAAGGGUAACGGAGGCGCUCAAAGGUUCCCUCAGCCUGGUCGGCAACCAGGUGGCGAGUGUAAGUGCACAAGGGGGCUUGACUGUGAGACUGACGGGUCGAGCAGGUACGAAAGUAGGAACUAGUGAUCCGGCGGUGGCUUGUGGAAGCGCCGUCGCUCAACGGAUAAAAGGUACCCCGGGGAUAACAGGCUGAUCCUGCCCAAGAGUCCAUAUCGACGGCAUGGUUUGGCACCUCGAUGUCGGCUCGUCGCAUCCUGGGGCUGGAGUCGGUCCCAAGGGUUGGGCUGUUCGCCCAUUAAAGCGGUACGCGAGCUGGGUUCAGAACGUCGUGAGACAGUUCGGUCCCUAUCCGCUGCGCGCGUAGGAGAAUUGAGAAGGGCUGUCCCUAGUACGAGAGGACCGGGACGGACGAACCUCUGGUGUGCCAGUUGUUCCGCCAGGAGCAUGGCUGGUUGGCUACGUUCGGGAGGGAUAACCGCUGAAAGCAUCUAAGCGGGAAGCCUGCUUCAAGAUAAGUUCUCCAUCCAGCCUGUGUGCUGGGUGAGGUCCCCCGCAGACGACGGGGUUGAUAGGCCGGACGUGGACGCCUCGUAAGGGGUGGAGCUGACCGGUACUAAUGGACCGACCGCCUACACCAU
RNAcentral lists this ribosomal RNA (1985 nucleotides) under human metagenome. Its description in RNAcentral is "bacterial LSU rRNA". It matches the Rfam family "Bacterial large subunit ribosomal RNA", at positions 1096 to 2925 of the family's 2925-position model. The record is from RNAcentral.